ACUGCUCAGUAACACGUGGGUAACCUGCCCUAUGCUGGAUAAUAACCUCGGGAAACUGAGAAUAAUGAUCCAUAGUUCACUACGCCUGGAACGGUGAGUGGAUGAAAGCUCCGGCGGCAUAGGAUGGGCCUGCGGCGUAUCAGGUUGUAGGGGGUGUAACGUACCCUCUAGCCCUCUACGCGUACGGGUGUUGGGAGACAUAGCCCGGAGAUGGAUUCUGAGACACGAAUCCAGACCCUACGGGGUGCAGCAGGCGCGAAAACUUGGCAAUGCGAGAAAUCGUGACCAGGGAACUCCAAGUGCAUCGGGUAAGACCGGUGCUUUUCUUGACUCUAAAUAGGUCUUGGAAUAAGGGGUGGGUAAGGACGGUGCCAGCCGCCGCGGUAAUACCGGCGCCUCAAGUGGUAGUCGCUUUUAUUGGGCCUAAAACGUCCGUAGCCGGUCUGAUACAUUCGUGGGUAAAUCAACCAGCUUAACUGGUUGAAUUCUGCGAGGACGGUCAGACUUGGGACCGGGAGAGGUGUGGGGUACGCUCAGGGUAGGGGUAAAAUCCUGUCAUCCUGAGCGGACCACCUGUUGCGAAGGCGCCACACUAGAACGGAUCCGACGGUCAGGGACGAAGCCUAGGGGCACGAACCGGAUUAGAUACCCGGGUGGUCCUAGGUGUAAACGCUGUGGACUUGAUGUUGGGGGUGCUCCGAGCACUCUCAGUGUCGAAGCGAAGGUGAUAAGUCCACUGCCUGGGAAGUACGGUCGCAAGGCUGAAACUUAAAGGAAUUGGCGGGGGAGCAC
This 792-nucleotide ribosomal RNA is filed under the name uncultured archaeon. RNAcentral's name for it is "bacterial SSU rRNA". It matches the Rfam family "Archaeal small subunit ribosomal RNA", at positions 85 to 879 of the family's 1478-position model. The record is from RNAcentral.